CCACAUUCCCCGGGGAGCCGUCACGGCUGAGAGUGCGCACCGCGCAGACCCGAAUACCUGAUCCGGAUCAUGCCGGCGGAGGAAGGGCUUCAUGACUUCAC
Molecule: non-coding RNA, 101 nt
Filed under: Enteractinococcus sp.
Lineage: Bacteria; Bacillati; Actinomycetota; Actinomycetes; Micrococcales; Micrococcaceae
Description: TPP sequence
Rfam family: TPP riboswitch aptamer (THI element)
About the family: Vitamin B(1) in its active form thiamin pyrophosphate (TPP) is an essential coenzyme that is synthesised by coupling of pyrimidine and thiazole moieties in bacteria. The previously detected thiamin-regulatory element, thi box was extended, resulting in a new, highly conserved RNA secondary structure, the THI element, which is widely distributed in eubacteria and also occurs in some archaea.
Source: RNAcentral